CCUACGGGGGGCAGCAGUGGGGAAUAUUGGACAAUGGGCGAAAGCCUGAUCCAGCCAUGCCGCGUGUGUGAAGAAGGCCUUCGGGUUGUAAAGCACUUUCAGUGGGGAAGAAAGCCUUGGGGCUAAUACCCUCGAGGAAGGACAUCACCCACAGAAGAAGCACCGGCUAACUCCGUGCCAGCAGCCGCGGUAAUACGGAGGGUGCGAGCGUUAAUCGGAAUUACUGGGCGUAAAGCGCGCGUAGGCGGUCUGAUAAGCCGGUUGUGAAAGCCCCGGGCUCAACCUGGGAACGGCAUCCGGAACUGUCGGGCUAGAGUGCAGGAGAGGAAGGUAGAAUUCCCGGUGUAGCGGUGAAAUGCGUAGAGAUCGGGAGGAAUACCAGUGGCGAAGGCGGCCUUCUGGACUGACACUGACGCUGAGGUGCGAAAGCGUGGGUAGCAAACAGGAUUAGAUACCCGAGUAGUC
Molecule: ribosomal RNA, 465 nt
Filed under: Vreelandella stevensii
Lineage: Bacteria; Pseudomonadati; Pseudomonadota; Gammaproteobacteria; Oceanospirillales; Halomonadaceae
Description: partial 16S ribosomal RNA
Rfam family: Bacterial small subunit ribosomal RNA
Source: RNAcentral